AAUCAACGCUGGCGGCGCGCUUAACACAUGCAAGUCGCACGAGAAAGGGAGCAAUCCUGAGUAAAGUGGCGUACGGGUGAGUAACACGUGGGAAUCUACCUCUUGGCGGGGAAUAACCCUGGGAAACCGGGGCUAAUACCGCAUAAGCUCGUGAGAGGAAAGCAGCAAUGCACCGAGAGAGGAGCCCGCGGCCGAUUAGCUAGUUGGUGAGGUAAUGGCUCACCAAGGCGAAGAUCGGUAGCCGGCCUGAGAGGGCACACGGCCACACUGGCACUGAAACACGGGCCAGACUCCUACGGGAGGCAGCAGUGGGGAAUCUUGCACAAUGGGGGAAACCCUGAUGCAGCGACGCCGCGUGAGCGAUGAAGCCCUUCGGGGUGUAAAGCUCUU
Molecule: ribosomal RNA, 390 nt
Filed under: uncultured bacterium
Lineage: Bacteria
Description: bacterial SSU rRNA
Rfam family: Bacterial small subunit ribosomal RNA
Source: RNAcentral